AGGACGAACGCUGGCGGCGUGCUUAACACAUGCAAGUCGAGCGGAAAGGCCCUUCGGGGUACUCGAGCGGCGAACGGGUGAGUAACACGUGAGCAACCUGCCCUUAGCUCUGGGAUAGCUCCGGGAAACCGGAAUUAAUACCAGAUACGACCACUUUAGACAUCUGUCGUGGUGGAAAGGAUUCCGGCUAGGGAUGGGCUCGCGGCCUAUCAGCUUGUUGGUGGGUAACGGCCUACCAAGGCGACGACGGGUA
RNAcentral lists this ribosomal RNA (253 nucleotides) under uncultured bacterium. RNAcentral's name for it is "partial small subunit ribosomal RNA". It matches the Rfam family "Bacterial small subunit ribosomal RNA", at positions 26 to 285 of the family's 1533-position model. The record is from RNAcentral.